Ovis aries (sheep) is the source of this 2326-nucleotide long non-coding RNA. The record is from Ensembl. NCBI's taxonomy places the organism in Eukaryota, Metazoa, Chordata, Mammalia, Artiodactyla, Bovidae.
CUGGCACUGCCAGUGGAGCGGGAAGUGAAAAGCUAUGCCCUGGCCGAUCAGUCCUCAAAGGAUCCCAGCUCUCAGAAUCUGAGGAAGAAGCUGCCUUCAGGGUGCUGCCCACAAAGGUCCAUCUAGUCAAAGCUAUGGUUCUUCCAUGUAUGGAUAUGAAAGUUGGACCAUAAAGAAGGCUGAACCCUGAAGAAUUGAUGCUUUCAAACUGUGGUUUUGGCGAAUACUCUUGAGAGUCCUUUGGACUGCAAGGAGAUCAAAUCAGUCAAUCCUAAAGGAAAUCAGCGGCUUCCCUGGUGGCUCAGGUGGUAAAGAGUCUGCCUGCAAUGUGGGAGACCUGGGUUCAAUCUCCAGGGAAGAUCCCCUGGAGAAGGAAAUGGCAACCCACUCCAGUAUUCUUGCUUGGAGAAUUCCGUGAACAGAGGAGCCUGGUUGGCUAGAGUCCACGGGUUCACAAAGAGUCGGACACAACUGAGUACUUUCAUUUUCACUUUCAAAGGAAAUCAAUCCUGAAUAUUCAUUGGAAGGACCGAUGCUGAAGCUGAAGCUCCAAUACUUUGGCGACCUGAUGUGAAGAGCUGACUCACUGGGAAAGAUCCUGAUGCUGGGAAAGAUUGAGGGCAGGAGGAGAAGGGGACAACAGGGGAUGAGAUGGUUGGAUGGCAUCACUGACUCAAUGGACAUGAGUCUGAGCAAACUCUGGGAGAUAGUGAAGGACAGGGAAACCUAGUGUGUUGCAAACCAUGGGUUGCAAAGAGUCAGACACAACGGAGCGACCGAACAACAGCAGUGUUUUUUGUAUAAUACAAUGUUGACAUGUUGGAAGGCCUCCCUUCAGGAAAUCACAAGCGGCAGUUUGAUCUUGAGCCGCCAGGUGGCACUAGUGCCCCGGCGCUGCCAGUAGGCAGGGCGCAAGGAUGCUUUGAGUCAGGCUUCGGUUCCCGGUCGGCUGCAGGCAGUGCCCUGGAAACCUGGAGCCUUUCCCUUUCACUCUCAGACCGAGCACCGGGGCUUAGAACAGAGAAAGUGGGAGACGUGGCAUGAUGCCACCAGACAAUGGCCUGAAGGAGAUAGCCAGAAAAUUGAUUAGCAUCAUUGGAACUCCCUUGGCAGCAACUUUGCAAAUUCUCUAAAGAUUCUGUGGAAGAACUGCCUUCCAGAAAUUAAAAAGACCAGAGCCCCAGUUGGAACCACCCAGCCCCCGGGCAGCCCCCGGGAGAUCUUCAGAACGUAAAGGUGGGGUCUUUCAUUGCAGGAGCUGAACUGAAGAAGGUGUUCCCUGGAGAACAGGUACAGUAGGCCUACUUUCCAUUUUUUUUCUUUGAAGUAAAAAAUGCCAAAUAGGACUCUUGCCACCUUGGUGUGGUCUGGUCCUUUAUGAUGACCUUGGGGUCCCAGGAGGACUCGCCACAGUUACUUUUGGUUCUGCAGUCUUGGGACCAUGGUCUCCUCCAUGACUCUCAGUGAACCUGUCCCAGCCAGUGGGACAAGCUCCCAGUUCUGUAGAAAGACCUGGCUUCUUUCUGCUAGAACUUCUUUCUAUGCAGACCAUCCGCAGCCCUUAAGGCUGCAGUCUGGAAGGUCUGGGACUGCCGUGGGUGGGUGGUCUGCCUUCAGGGAGUACUUGCUAGGGCCUGAGCUGCACAGUAAUCGGAGGCUUCCAGCAGCUGUGUGGUCAGUACUGUGUAUUCCUGGCCAGGUUACCUCAAAAGAAAUACUUCUUCUUGAAGCCCUGACAUUUCCCUCUUCCUACUGGCCAACAGGCCCACUGACUCACCUCCAUAGACUUCGGUACACUACUCACUGUAGAGCGAUGCAUUUCAUCCCACUCAGGGUUGCCUUCCCUGUAUUUUCCACACAACUGAGCAUCACAGACACUAAGGUUCCCCUAGUGUCUGAGGAGCUGAGGAUGCUUAAGACUGUGACACUCUUCUACUUGAUCCAUUUCCUUCCUCAAAACCUUAUCCCUGCCCUAAAUCACAGAUGGCUUCUAGCCAUUCAAGACCUUGAUGACAGGGCGAGAGAGGAAAUAAAGAAAGAAAAAGGACACGUUGGAGAAAUAUAUUCCCUAUACAUAAAAUAGAUAGAUAACUCAUUUCCACAGAAACUCUUACAAAUAAAUAGGAAAUAAGACUUCCUUGGUGGCUCAGAUGGUUAAGCGUCUGCCUACAAUGCGGGAGACCUGGGUUCAAUCCCUGGGUUGGGAAGCUCUCCUGGAGAAGGAAAUGGCAACCCACUCCAGUAUUCUUGCCCGGAAAAUCAAAUGGAUGGAGGAGCCUGGUAGGCUACAGUCCAUGGGGUCACAAAGAGUUGGACAAGACUGAGC